This 360-nucleotide unclassified non-coding RNA is filed under the name Hevea brasiliensis (rubber tree). Lineage: Eukaryota; Viridiplantae; Streptophyta; Magnoliopsida; Malpighiales; Euphorbiaceae. The record is from RNAcentral.
GCAGAGUUCAUAAGAAUAUGGCUCUUGGAGAACAAGUGGCAAGGCUAGGUCUUGAGCUUGAUCCGUCGGAUCCUGCAUUCUAUACGCAGCUUGCAAAUUUGUAUAAAAACUGUGGGCGGUCAGAUUUGAGUGAAAAGACUCGGUUGUUGACCAAAGACAGAGGGUUGAACAACAUUGUGUACGCUUAGAAGAAAUGAAAGCAACAAUUACUCUUUCUACACAGGAGAUAGAUCAUGUCCCACAUUCAUGAGAUUUAUUGGAAUUAUUUUACGAGAGAGUUUAAGGAUCAGGGAUAUCAAGGUAAUGAAGAUUUGUUUUACCAGUGGGAACAUAGUUGUUGCUCUUGGUCUUUGACAAUUA